Molecule: ribosomal RNA, 497 nt
Filed under: uncultured bacterium
Lineage: Bacteria
Description: partial 16S ribosomal RNA
Rfam family: Bacterial small subunit ribosomal RNA
Source: RNAcentral
GAUGAACGCUGGCGGCGUGCCUAAUACAUGCAAGUCGAGCGAACAGACGAGGAGCUUGCUCCUCUGAUGUUAGCGGCGGACGGGUGAGUAACACGUGGAUAACCUACCUAUAAGACUGGGAUAACUUCGGGAAACCGGAGCUAAUACCGGAUAACAUGUUGAACCGCAUGGUUCAACAGUGAAAGACGGUCUUGCUGUCACUUAUAGAUGGAUCCGCGCCGCAUUAGCUAGUUGGUAAGGUAACGGCUUACCAAGGCAACGAUGCGUAGCCGACCUGAGAGGGUGAUCGGCCACACUGGAACUGAGACACGGUCCAGACUCCGACGGGAGGCAGCAGUAGGGAAUCUUCCGCAAUGGGCGAAAGCCUGACGGAGCAACGCCGCGUGAGUGAAGAAGGUCUUCGGAUCGUAAAACUCUGUUAUUAGGGAAGAACAAAUGUGUAAGUAACUAUGCACGUCUUGACGGUACCUAAUCAGAAAGCCACGGCUAACUACGUG